UAUGAUCAUCAGAAAACAGUG
RNAcentral lists this microRNA (21 nucleotides) under Arabidopsis thaliana (thale cress). Its description in RNAcentral is "ath-miR5633". The record is from miRBase by way of RNAcentral. Lineage: Eukaryota; Viridiplantae; Streptophyta; Magnoliopsida; Brassicales; Brassicaceae.